CUACGGGAGGCACCAGUGAGGAAUAUUGCACAAUGGGGGAAACCCUGAUGCAGCAACGCCGCGUGGAGGAUGACGCAUUUCGGUGUGUAAACUCCUUUUAUAUGUCAAGAAAAUGACGGUAGCAUAUGAAUAAGCACCGGCUAACUCCGUGCCAGCAGCCGCGGUAAUACGGAGGGUGCAAGCGUUAUUCGGAAUCACUGGGCGUAAAGGACGCGUAGGCGGGUUUGUAAGUCAGGUGUGAAAUCCUACAGCUUAACUGUAGAACUGCACUUGAAACUACUAACCUAGAGUAUGGGAGGGGGAGAUGGAAUUAGUGGUGUAGGGGUAAAAUCCGUAGAUAUCACUAGGAAUACCUAAAGCGAAGGCGAUCUCCUGGAACAUUACUGACGCUAAGGCGUGAAAGCGUGGGGAACAAACAGGAUUAGAUACCCGAGUAGUC
RNAcentral lists this ribosomal RNA (439 nucleotides) under uncultured bacterium. RNAcentral describes it as "partial 16S ribosomal RNA". It matches the Rfam family "Bacterial small subunit ribosomal RNA", at positions 339 to 795 of the family's 1533-position model. The record is from RNAcentral.